Long non-coding RNA from Nannospalax galili (Upper Galilee mountains blind mole rat), 715 nucleotides. RefSeq lists it as uncharacterized. NCBI's taxonomy places the organism in Eukaryota, Metazoa, Chordata, Mammalia, Rodentia, Spalacidae. The record is from RefSeq and is a predicted model, not a curated record. The transcript is spliced from 3 exons.
GAAAAUCAGCACAAAAUCCACUGUCAAAGCUUGAGAAACAGCAGCAGAGGAAAGAAAAGACCAGAGCCAAGGGGCCUUCUGAAUCAAGCAAAGAACGAAAUGCUCCCCGAAAAGAAGACCGCAGUGCCAGCAGUGGGGCGGAGGGCGAUGUGUCUUCUGAGCGGGAGCCAUAGAUGAAGAAGCAGGAGCUCAGUGCUUUACCAUUGGGCAGAACUGGAUCCUGAAAAAUUCAAGAUGCUAAGCCCCUGCAGUGCUCUAAGAAUUCGGGCCUGAAACAUGAAAACAAAAACAGCAAAACAAGACAUCAGGAAUCUGAAUACCCCUGCAGGGGGAAAAAAAACCCACGAAAGGACUGUUCCAUUUUUCUGUAAUGCUGUGGUCUGAUGGGCAUUGGGUACUAUCGGGUGGGUGAAUUGCUCAUGAUGGAGGGUGCAUACCCAUGCCUUCCCCACAGAGAGAAGUCUAUUGACUUUCCUGGGUCUCACCGUCUCUUGGUUUGCUUUUGGAACAGACUGGCCCAGCAUCAUGUCCUCAAGUCCACUGUGGUGUAUUCUGUGUGUUCAUGACCAGUCUUCAGCAUGUUCCUGUUGUCCAUCACAAGACAGGGCUGGUUUUAGAGUGUAAAGAGAGUAACCGACAGUAAUGUAUUGUAUGAGACUUUGCAUCUUGUAAAUUUUUCUCUUUUUUCUAAAAAUAAAUAAUAAUAAAAUCCUAA